AUAUAUGUGCAUAUAAAUAUAUAAUAUGUACUUUAUAAAUAUUAUAUGUAUGAAAACUAAAUCAGAAUCUCUCAAUCCCGGGUUUACUCUUUAUUGAGCUGUUUUGGGAGAAUCUGCAAGGCCUAGUGCACAGGGACGGGGUUGCUGCUUCAUACAGAAAACAGAAGAGACUUUGCAGAGGGGAAAACAAUCAAAUAAACAAAAACCAAACUAAAAAAUAACUAAGCCAACAGGGGAAAAAAAAAAAAAAAAAAGAAUGUUCCUUCCCUUGGCGGUUGGAAUGUCGCGGAGGGUAAUCCGAGCAGCAGCUCAGUCUCCGGGAGCCAGCAGUGCGGACUCCCAGACUGCUGCCCGCCUGUCCUAAUCUGGUAUUUGGAGGAGUGUGUUUUUGUUGGUUUUUUUUAUUUUCUUUCUUUGAUUUACUGAUAUCUCCUCAGUAUUUUGGGUUUAGGUAAUGAACUCUUUCUGUUACUGAUUUAACGGUCAGGAAGGGCAAUGUGCGGGCCCGAUGCCACAGCCCCGCCCGGGUCCGUGUUGGUGCCGCGGGCUCCUCGCCCCCGGUGGUGGGCUCUGUGUCCCUGCGAGCCCGGCUGACUUGUAAGGGUGCUCUUCUAUCGCCCCGCCUCGCAGCGAAUAUCUGGUAAAUUUGUCCUCAGCUGAAGGAGAAGCCCAUCGGCUCCUGCCCGCAUGGAAGGGGUGCCGAGAGGACGAGCCGCAAUCCAGUGCCAGCUGAAACCCCCGUUCCCAUCCCCACGACGGGACCAUCUCGCACCUGACACCCCGCGGGGGCGGACCUGCAGCCGAGACCCCCCCACCGCGGCCCGACCGCCGGACCGCCCCCCGUGAAAACGCGGCUCCUGCCAAAAAUCACGUCUCCUGGGAGGGGUCGGAAGAUAUAUUUGCUGGAAGAUACUAGGAAUGAAGGAAAAACAGCUGGUAAAGACGAGCUGAAAAGCUCUGUGUAUUUGUCUCCGAUCAGCAUGAACACCUCGCCCCACCCCCCUUUUAAUUUUAGAGAUUAAAACCAGAGUAUAUUUCCUCAGCAGGUACCUAAAGGAAGAACCUUGAUGUUUGCUCUACCGGUUUGUUCUGUCGGUCCCUUUGCAUUUUGUGUGUUUGUUGCUCACAAAUAGCUAUUAUCGCUGUUAAUGAUUGUAGAAAUGUAAAAAAAGAUUUUUAAAAAUGUGAAUUCGUAGCCUGCUAGCAGAGAGCGCUCCUCACUCUCCUGGCAAUUAAAUUAAGGGUGUCGAUUUGGGUUAGGGAUCAUCCUUCAAUUUUAAGAGAAAAGUGCUUCAAGUCAAGAAUGCCUUUUCUGUUUUGUUGUCUAUUUGUUUGUUUUCUCUUUUUUUCGAAGGCUUUUCCUUUUUAGUAUUUAAGUUAUGCUGGAAGAACACAUUUCUCCUCCGUGCUCUUUUAGGCUAUCCCUCCCUUGGAAACUCCAGAUGGGAGGGAAACAGGCACACAUAAUUUGGGAGGUUUUGUUAUUUUUAAAAAAAACGUUUGUCAUGCUGCAACCAUUAUUCCGAGGAUUCUGCGAGGUUUUCAUUUACCGGCUUUCAGGGCUCCUUUCUUCAUAUUGCAGCCGGCCCAAUGUGAGACUCCAGAGAAAAAUAAUUUAAAAAAAGACCAAAAACAAGUGAAAACAAAAAGAAUAAAAAUAUAAAGCAACCUUCCUCUCUUCCUCCCCCUCACCCCAAAGCUAAGCUGCGCCCCAAUCCAGGCUUCGCUUGGGGAGUCAAAUUACCCCUCUUCCCAUUGGGACGCAUUCAUUUUUCGCAGUCAUUUUAUCUGCCGGAACUUUAGGACAAAGCUAUUUUCCAGAGGAAAUUUCCACUCCUGCUGCCGCCUCACAGCAGAGGGCGCCAGGAGCCUUCCCAGGCUUUGCUGCCUCAAGAGCUGCUGGAAAUUAACUCUUUGGACACUCUCCUUGAAUGUUUUUCUAACCUUUCCCUUUUAAAAUAUACAACUGGAUUCUGACUUUUUUUUUCCCCCUAUAAAACGCAUGUUGGUUUGUUUUGGUUUGGGUUUGUAAGAUUUUUUUUCCCUGUCCUUGUAGUACCUUUUCCCAGCUCUUCUAGGCCUUCACCCUCCUGCAGCAUUCCCCCAGGACUCUCAGGUGUACAGCUUCACUCUCUCUCUGCUAACUUGAUUUUAAUUAAGUCACUGGAUCACGUUUGCGUGACAUUACCGUGUUGUCCCUUAUAAACUUCUGGGAUGAAACUCGUCUUGGCUGUGUUUAAACUUAAAGAGUCACUUAGGGAACUUCAAGCAGAACACCAAAGCAUGGCACCAAAGGUGAAACAGGUUGGUGAGGCCCUGGCACAGGUUGCCCAAAGAAGCUGUGACUGCCUAAUCCCUGGAAGUGUUCACAGCCAGGAUUUGGAGCAACCUGGACUAGUAAAGAGUGUCCCAGCCCAAAUAUGCACAGUAUAAAGUCUCCAACAGAGCUUAUCGUUCCAAAUAAAUGACUAAAAUGGAAGAUAAACAGUAAGAAAGAGAAGAAAGAAUAAACUAAAUAUUAGUAUAUGUAAUUUCCAUGUUUCCUGUAAACUUUUGUCAAGAAGCUAGAUAUGAUUUUGCUAUUCACAUCUGAGGAUCAACAGAAAUGCAAAAUGCAUGAUCCAAAUAAUUAUUAAAAAAAAUCUGAGCAUAAAGCAUAAAAACCAACAAAGAAAAACAUUUUGAUUCUGGAGGCUGGUGGGAAAACUCAGUUGAAGAUAAAUGUUUGUCCUUGUGCUAUUUAAAUUAAAAUAUGGAUUUAAAAGAUUUAUGAGCUGGUUUGUUCAUUUAUGGAAUUCAAUUUAGCAUCUAUCAAUCAUAAAAAAAGAAAAUUAAUCAAA
Cyanistes caeruleus (blue tit) is the source of this 2840-nucleotide long non-coding RNA. RefSeq lists it as uncharacterized. NCBI's taxonomy places the organism in Eukaryota, Metazoa, Chordata, Aves, Passeriformes, Paridae. The record is from RefSeq and is a predicted model, not a curated record.